RNAcentral lists this ribosomal RNA (468 nucleotides) under uncultured bacterium. RNAcentral's name for it is "partial 16S ribosomal RNA". It matches the Rfam family "Bacterial small subunit ribosomal RNA", at positions 28 to 507 of the family's 1533-position model. The record is from RNAcentral.
GACGAACGCUGGCGGCGUGCUUAACACAUGCAAGUCGAACGGAAAGGCCCUGCUUUUGUGGGGUGCUCGAGGGGCGAACGGGUGAGUAACACGUGAGUAACCUGCCCUUGACUUUGGGAUAACUUAAGGAAACUGGGGCUAAUACCGGAUAGGAGCUCCUGCUGCAGGGUGGGGGUUGGAAAGUUUCGGCGGUUGGGGAUGGACUCGCGGCUUAUCAGCUUGUUGGUGGGGUAGUGGCUUACCAAGGCUUUGACGGGUAGCCGGCCUGAAAGGGUGACCGGCCACAUUGGGACUGAGAUACGGCCCAGACUCCUACGGGAGGCAGCAGUGGGGAAUAUUGCACAAUGGGCGGAAGCCUGAUGCAGCAACGCCGCGUGCGGGAUGACGGCCUUCGGGUUGUAAACCGCUUUCGCCUGUGACGAAGCGUGAGUGACGGUAAUGGGUAAAGAAGCACCGGCUAACUACGUG